Molecule: long non-coding RNA, 452 nt
Organism: Tupaia belangeri chinensis (Chinese tree shrew)
Lineage: Eukaryota; Metazoa; Chordata; Mammalia; Scandentia; Tupaiidae
Exons: 3
Source: RefSeq, a predicted model, not a curated record
UCUACUGAGUCCUAUGGAUGUCUUGUCUAAGAGGAACUAUCCACCUCAGAACUCAUUUGAUGUGAGAUGACCCAGAGACUCUCAUGAUGGCCAAGCAUCAGGACGGUUCAUUUUCUUCAUUUUUUUAAUACCUUCCUUAAAGCAUUUCAAGUUUCAAAGCUGGUAUUUGGGGAUGAAUCCACAUGUCAACACAAAGCUUAUAGAGACCUACUUUGGUGCUUUCACACACCAAUGCUGCCCAUUCGAUAGUGCUACAAUAAACCUAGAAAGGCUGACCCUCUACCAUCUCUUGAAGUGAGAGUCAGGCUCAUUAUCCAUAUUACCAGGAAGACGCAGAGCAGUAGUGCUUUUAAGCCCAUUCCCAGUAGAACUAGAAGUUUUAGAAUGUUCUAUUGAGAAAUCCUCGAGUUCAGUGAUAUUUUCCCCAGCUGUGUCCAGUCUUUUAAUAAGCC